This 253-nucleotide ribosomal RNA is filed under the name uncultured bacterium. RNAcentral describes it as "partial 16S ribosomal RNA". It matches the Rfam family "Bacterial small subunit ribosomal RNA", at positions 524 to 776 of the family's 1533-position model. The record is from RNAcentral.
UACGUAGGCAGCGAGCGUUGUUCGGAGUUACUGGGCGUAAAGGGUGUGUAGGCGGUUUUCUAAGUUUGGUGUGAAAUCUCCCGGCUUAACCGGGAGGGUGCGCCGAAAACUGGGAGACUAGAGUGCGGGAUGGGAGAGUAGAAUUCCUGGUGUAACGGUGAAAUGCGUAGAUAUCAGGAGGAAUACCGGUGGUGCAGACGGCUCUCUGGACCGCAACUGACGCUGAGACACGAGAGCGUGGGUAGCAAACAGG